CACGUAGGGGGCAAGCGUUGUCCGGAUUUAUUGGGCGUAAAGAGCUCGUAGGCGGUUCGGUAAGUCGGGUGUGAAACCUCCAGGCUCAACCUGGAGACGCCACCCGAUACUGCUGUGACUUGAGUCCGGUAGGGGAGCGUGGAAUUCCCGGUGUAGCGGUGAAAUGCGCAGAUAUCGGGAGGAACACCAAUGGCGAAGGCAGCUCGCUGGGACGGUACUGACGCUGAGACGCGAAAGCGUGGGGAGCAAACAGG
RNAcentral lists this ribosomal RNA (254 nucleotides) under uncultured bacterium. RNAcentral's name for it is "partial 16S ribosomal RNA". It matches the Rfam family "Bacterial small subunit ribosomal RNA", at positions 524 to 776 of the family's 1533-position model. The record is from RNAcentral.